AAAACACUUUCAGCAAUGGAUGUCUUGGCUCCCACAACGAUGAAGAACGCAGCGAAAUGCGAUACGUCAUGCGAAUUGCAACACUUAGUGAGUCAUCAAAAUUUUGAACGCAUCUUGCACUUCC
This 124-nucleotide ribosomal RNA is filed under the name Paraphysomonas sp. Its description in RNAcentral is "5.8S ribosomal RNA". It matches the Rfam family "5.8S ribosomal RNA", at positions 1 to 120 of the family's 154-position model. From Rfam's summary of the family: 5.8S ribosomal RNA (5.8S rRNA) is a component of the large subunit of the eukaryotic ribosome. It is transcribed by RNA polymerase I as part of the 45S precursor that also contains 18S and 28S rRNA. Functionally, it is thought that 5.8S rRNA may be involved in ribosome translocation. Lineage: Eukaryota; Chrysophyceae; Chromulinales; Paraphysomonadaceae. The record is from RNAcentral.